Lagenorhynchus albirostris (white-beaked dolphin) is the source of this 3096-nucleotide RNA transcript. It is a transcript of the gene named cell division cycle 27, with no coding region annotated. The transcript is spliced from 19 exons. NCBI's taxonomy places the organism in Eukaryota, Metazoa, Chordata, Mammalia, Artiodactyla, Delphinidae. The record is from RefSeq and is a predicted model, not a curated record.
GGUUGCUGGUGAGUUUAAAUGAGCCGGGGCUGGCCGGGCCGGAGCCGCUACGGGGGGGGCCUGAGGCACUGCAGAAAGUGGGCCUGAGCCUCCAGGAUGACGGUGCUGCAGGAACCUGUCCAGGCUGCUAUAUGGCAAGCACUAAACCACUAUGCUUACAGAGAUGCAGUUUUCCUCGCAGAGCGACUAUAUGCAGAAGUACACUCAGAAGAAGCCUUGUUUUUACUGGCAACCUGUUAUUACCGCUCAGGAAAGGCAUAUAAAGCAUAUAGACUCUUGAAAGGACACAGUUGUACUACACCGCAAUGUAAAUACCUGCUUGCAAAAUGUUGUGUUGAUCUCAGCAAGCUUGCAGAAGGGGAACAGAUCUUAUCUGGUGGAGUGUUUAAUAAGCAGAAAAGCCAUGAUGAUAUUGUUACUGAGUUUGGUGAUUCAGCUUGCUUUACUCUUUCAUUGUUGGGACAUGUAUAUUGCAAGACAGAUCGGCUUGCCAAAGGAUCAGAAUGUUACCAAAAGAGCCUUAGUUUAAAUCCUUUCCUCUGGUCCCCCUUUGAAUCAUUAUGUGAAAUAGGUGAAAAGCCAGAUCCUGACCAAACAUUUAAAUUAACAUCUUUACAGAACUUUAGCAGCUGUCUGCCCAACUCUUGCACAACACUAGUAUCUAAUCAUAGUUUAUCUCACAGACAGCCUGAGACAGUUCUUACAGAAACACCCCAGGACACAAUUGAAUUAAACAGAUUGAAUUUAGAAUCUUCCAAUUCAAAGUACUCAUUGAAUACAGAUUCUUCAGUGUCUUAUAUUGAUUCAGCUGUAAUUUCACCAGAUACUGUCCCUCUUGGAACAGGAACUUCCAUAUUAUCUAAACAAGUUCAAAAUAAACCAAAAACUGGUCGAAGUUUAUUAGGAGGACCAGCUGCUCUUAGCCCAUUAACCCCAAGUUUUGGGAUUUUGCCAUUAGAAACCCCAAGUCCUGGAGAUGGAUCCUAUUUACAAAACUACACUAAUACAUCUUCUGUAAUUGACGUGCCAUCAACCGGAGCCCCUUCAAAAAAGUCUGUUGCCAGAAUCGGCCAAACUGGAACAAAGUCUGUCUUCUCACAGAGUGGAAACAGUCGAGAGGUAACUCCAAUUCUUGUUGCACAAACACAAAGUUCUGGCCCACAAACAAGUACAACACCUCAGGUAUUGAGCCCCACUAUCACAUCUCCCCCAAAUGCACUGCCUCGAAGAAGUUCACGACUUUUUACUAGUGACAGCUCUACAACCAAGGAGAAUAGCAAAAAAUUAAAAAUGAAGUUUCCACCUAAAAUCCCAAACAGAAAAACAAAAAGUAAAACUAAUAAAGGAGGAAUAACUCAACCUAACAUAAAUGAUAGCCUAGAAAUAACUAAAUUAGACUCUGCAAUCAUUUCAGAAGGGAAAAUCUCCACAAUCACACCUCAGAUCCAGGCAUUUAAUCUACAGAAAGCAGCAGCAGAAGGUUUGAUGAGCCUUCUUCGUGAAAUGGGGAAAGGUUAUUUAGCUUUGUGCUCAUACAACUGCAAAGAAGCUAUAAAUAUCUUGAGCCACCUACCUUCUCACCACUACAAUACUGGUUGGGUCCUGUGCCAGAUUGGAAGGGCCUAUUUUGAACUUUCAGAGUACAUGCAAGCUGAAAGAAUAUUCUCAGAGGUUAGAAGAAUUGAGAAUUACAGAGUCGAAGGCAUGGAGAUCUACUCUACAACACUUUGGCAUCUUCAAAAGGAUGUUGCUCUUUCAGUUCUUUCGAAAGACUUAACAGAUAUGGAUAAAAAUUCACCAGAGGCCUGGUGUGCUGCAGGGAACUGUUUCAGUUUGCAACGGGAACAUGAUAUUGCGAUUAAAUUCUUCCAGAGAGCUAUCCAGGUUGAUCCAAAUUAUGCUUAUGCCUAUACUCUAUUAGGGCAUGAGUUUGUGUUAACUGAAGAAUUAGACAAAGCGUUAGCUUGUUUUCGAAAUGCUAUCAGAGUCAAUCCUAGACAUUAUAAUGCAUGGUAUGGUUUAGGAAUGAUUUAUUACAAGCAAGAAAAAUUCAGCCUUGCAGAAAUGCAUUUCCAGAAAGCACUUGACAUCAACCCUCAAAGUUCAGUUUUGCUUUGCCACAUUGGAGUAGUUCAGCACGCACUGAAAAAAUCUGAGAAGGCUUUGGAUACCCUAAACAAAGCCAUUGUUAUUGAUCCUAAGAACCCUCUAUGCAAAUUUCACAGAGCCUCAGUUUUAUUUGCAAAUGAAAAAUAUAAGUCUGCUUUACAAGAACUUGAAGAAUUGAAACAAAUUGUUCCCAAAGAGUCCCUCGUUUACUUCUUAAUAGGAAAGUGCUGCUGUUUAUUUUUAGGUUUACAAGAAGUUAGGUCAAACGCACCUCGCCCUGAUGAAUUUCUCUUGGGCUAUGGAUUUAGAUCCUAAAGGAGCCAAUAACCAGAUUAAAGAGGCAAUUGAUAAGCGCUACCUUCCAGAUGAUGAGGAGCCAAUCACCCAAGAGGAACAGAUCAUGGGAACAGAUGAAUCCCAGGAGAGCAGCAUGACAGAUGCAGAUGACACACAACUUCAUGCAGCUGAAAGUGAUGAAUUUUAACUUCUGGAAAUCAAGACUUUUGCAACUGGAUGUGUGACUAGUGCUGAUGUGUUUCUUGUCCUUCCAUAUACUGAGUCUUCACUCUUGAGCCAGCAGUGUCAUCAUCCAUCACUUAUACCCUGAGUGUGCCCCUUUCAUUGGACCCUGACUGUACACAGAAUGAAAGGCAGUGCAAUAUUUAGCUGCUAACAAGACUGGCUCUCUCACCAGUAUGAAUGACAAUUUAGGGGGUAGGUAGGGUGGGAAACUUUCUUUUCUUUUUUUUUCUUUAAUCUCCCUUUGUUGGAAAGCUAUCAUGGAAGGAAAAGUUUUGUUUUAUCUUGAAGGAACCAUUAGAGAUGGAAAAUGGUGAUGAACCAGAAUCUCUUGGUCGUUUUUCCAAAAAUUUGUUUUACUUGGUUCUGUUCCUGAUAAACAAAGUGACUGAUCUUCAUUUCUAGGUUCUUCAAGAAUGGUGUUAGCAAGUGCCAGAUGGAACAAUAAAAGACAUUGCCUAUAACAGA